Molecule: unclassified non-coding RNA, 353 nt
Filed under: soil metagenome
Description: partial contains 5.8S ribosomal RNA, internal transcribed spacer 2, and large subunit ribosomal RNA
Rfam family: 5.8S ribosomal RNA (bases 1-120)
Source: RNAcentral
GAUGAAGAACGCAGCGAAAUGCGAUAAGUAAUGUGAAUUGCAGAAUUCAGUGAAUCAUCGAAUCUUUGAACGCACAUUGCGCCCGCCAGUAUUCUGGCGGGCAUGCCUGUCCGAGCGUCAUUUCAACCCUCGAACCCCUCCGGGGGGUCGGCGUUGGGGAUCGGCCCUUUCACCGGGUGCCGGCCCCUAAAUACAGUGGCGGUCUCGCCGCAGCCUCUCAUGCGCAGUAGUUUGCACACUCGCACCGGGAGCGCGGCGCGUCCACGUCCGUAAAACACCCCCAACUUCUGAAAUGUUGACCUCGGAUCAGGUAGGAAUACCCGCUGAACUUAAGCAUAUCAAUAAGCGGAGGA